RNAcentral lists this ribosomal RNA (514 nucleotides) under bacterium enrichment culture clone ALO1_GLFRUDD03G6BC6. Its description in RNAcentral is "bacterial SSU rRNA". It matches the Rfam family "Bacterial small subunit ribosomal RNA", at positions 9 to 517 of the family's 1533-position model. The record is from RNAcentral.
GAGUUUGAUCGUGGCUCAGAUUGAACGCUGGCGGCAGGCCUAACACAUGCAAGUCGAGCGGAUGACGGGAGCUUGCUCCUUGAUUCAGCGGCGGACGGGUGAGUAAUGCCUAGGAAUCUGCCUGGUAGUGGGGGACAACGUUUCGAAAGGAACGCUAAUACCGCAUACGUCCUACGGGAGAAAGCAGGGGACCUUCGGGCCUUGCGCUAUCAGAUGAGCCUAGGUCGGAUUAGCUAGUUGGUGGGGUAAUGGCUCACCAAGGCGACGAUCCGUAACUGGUCUGAGAGGAUGAUCAGUCACACUGGAACUGAGACACGGUCCAGACUCCUACGGGAGGCAGCAGUGGGGAAUAUUGGACAAUGGGCGAAAGCCUGAUCCAGCCAUGCCGCGUGUGUGAAGAAGGUCUUCGGAUUGUAAAGCACUUUAAGUUGGGAGGAAGGGCAGUAAGUUAAUACCUUGCUGUUUUGACGUUUACCGACAGAAUAAGCACCGGCUAACUCUGUGCCAGCCGCCG